RNAcentral lists this ribosomal RNA (253 nucleotides) under uncultured bacterium. RNAcentral describes it as "partial 16S ribosomal RNA". It matches the Rfam family "Bacterial small subunit ribosomal RNA", at positions 524 to 776 of the family's 1533-position model. The record is from RNAcentral.
UACGUAGGGCGCAAGCGUUGUCCGGAAUUAUUGGGCGUAAAGAGCUCGUAGGCGGCCUGUUGCGUCCGCUGUGAAAUCCCGGGGCUUAACCCCGGGCUUGCAGUGGAUACGGGCAGGCUGGAGGCAGGCAGGGGAGAACGGAAUUCCCGGUGUAGCGGUGAAAUGCGCAGAUAUCGGGAGGAACACCAAUGGCGAAGGCAGCUCGCUGGGACGGUACUGACGCUGAGACGCGAAAGCGUGGGGAGCAAACAGG